Long non-coding RNA from Pyrus x bretschneideri (Chinese white pear), 689 nucleotides. RefSeq lists it as uncharacterized. The transcript has 2 exons. The record is from RefSeq and is a predicted model, not a curated record. Lineage: Eukaryota; Viridiplantae; Streptophyta; Magnoliopsida; Rosales; Rosaceae.
GAGCUUGUCUUUUAGACCAUUAUCUUAACAAUUAGGAUAAUUUUCUGCGCUUCGGCUCGUUUUAUCUCCUCAGGUUACCAGCGAACUCUGAGUUUUCAUAUUGCCGGUAUAUUUACAAUCAUACUCAUUUGGAUUUGGUUUUGAUCACUACUGCUUUAGGCACAUACAAAAUACCAAGUGAAAUUCAUACGAAAUGAAGAGAGGAUCAUUCGAAAUCAGCUAGUUUAGUAUAUUAACAGUCUUUGCAAAUGAGUUCGGAUCACCAUCAAAACAACCAGCAGUCGAUGCCUGCGGAGAAACGAAAACCCGCUCUCAACGCUGAUUGACAGUAAAUCCUCCAAUUGAGUACAGCAACGGCCCAAACUUAUAUCUUCUGCAAGAAUGCUCUCUGCCUGCAAUGCAAUUCCGAACUCAUAUCUCGAAUCUCCAACUUCCGGUGAGAUGUGGUGGUGGCCAUGUUGGCAGCUGAAAGAGGAAGGCUUCUGCGUUACAGAAAAAGAGACGGAUAAAUGAGAGAUUUUUCAAUGUGAUCGGAAGACGGGAUGAUACGUAAUGUGUUACUAUACAAAUAGUAGGAUGUGUGUGUAUGGUCCCUUAACUUUAACUCAAUUAGAGCAAUGGUCCCUUAAGUGUAAUUACACACUUUGAUCAGUUGAGAGACUCUAAUUAUAUAAAUGGUCAUUCUAACA